CUAGCGACUUCAGAGUUUGAUCCUGGCUCAGGAUGAACGCUGGCGGCGUGCCUAACACAUGCAAGUCGAGCGGGAUCUUCUGGAUUGAAACUUAGGUCGAAAGAAGGAAGUGAGAGCGGCGGACGGGUGAGUAACGCGUAGGCAACCUGCCCUUUGCAGAGGGAUAGCCAUUGGAAACGAUGAUUAAAACCUCAUAAUGCCAUGAAACGACAUCGCUUUAUGGCCAAAGAUUUAUCGGCAAAGGAUGGGCCUGCGUCUGAUUAGCUAGUUGGUGAGGUAACGGCUCACCAAGGCGACGAUCAGUAGCCGACCUGAGAGGGUGAUCGGCCACAUUGGAACUGAGACACGGUCCAA
This 354-nucleotide ribosomal RNA is filed under the name uncultured bacterium. RNAcentral's name for it is "bacterial SSU rRNA". It matches the Rfam family "Bacterial small subunit ribosomal RNA", at positions 1 to 334 of the family's 1533-position model. The record is from RNAcentral.